Molecule: ribosomal RNA, 2642 nt
Filed under: Salmonella enterica subsp. enterica serovar Agama
Lineage: Bacteria; Pseudomonadati; Pseudomonadota; Gammaproteobacteria; Enterobacterales; Enterobacteriaceae
Description: partial 23S ribosomal RNA
Rfam family: Bacterial large subunit ribosomal RNA
Source: RNAcentral
GAUUCGUCACACUAUCAUUAACUGAAUCCAUAGGUUAAUGAGGCGAACCGGGGGAACUGAAACAUCUAAGUACCCCGAGGAAAAGAAAUCAACCGAGAUUCCCCCAGUAGCGGCGAGCGAACGGGGAGGAGCCCAGAGCCUGAAUCAGCAUGUGUGUUAGUGGAAGCGUCUGGAAAGGCGCGCGAUACAGGGUGACAGCCCCGUACACAAAAGCGCAUGUGCUGUGAGCUCGAUGAGUAGGGCGGGACACGUGGUAUCCUGUCUGAAUAUGGGGGGACCAUCCUCCAAGGCUAAAUACUCCUGACUGACCGAUAGUGAACCAGUACCGUGAGGGAAAGGCGAAAAGAACCCCGGCGAGGGGAGUGAAAAAGAACCUGAAACCGUGUACGUACAAGCAGUGGGAGCACCCUUCGGGGUGUGACUGCGUACCUUUUGUAUAAUGGGUCAGCGACUUAUAUUCUGUAGCAAGGUUAACCGUAUAGGGGAGCCGCAGGGAAACCGAGUCUUAAUUGGGCGUUAAGUUGCAGGGUAUAGACCCGAAACCCGGUGAUCUAGCCAUGGGCAGGUUGAAGGUUGGGUAACACUAACUGGAGGACCGAACCGACUAAUGUUGAAAAAUUAGCGGAUGACCUGUGGCUGGGGGUGAAAGGCCAAUCAAACCGGGAGAUAGCUGGUUCUCCCCGAAAGCUAUUUAGGUAGCGCCUCGUGAACUCAUCUCCGGGGGUAGAGCACUGUUUCGGCUAGGGGGCCAUCCCGGCUUACCAACCCGAUGCAAACUGCGAAUACCGGAGAAUGUUAUCACGGGAGACACACGGCGGGUGCUAACGUCCGUCGUGAAGAGGGAAACAACCCAGACCGCCAGCUAAGGUCCCAAAGUCAUGGUUAAGUGGGAAACGAUGUGGGAAGGCCCAGACAGCCAGGAUGUUGGCUUAGAAGCAGCCAUCAUUUAAAGAAAGCGUAAUAGCUCACUGGUCGAGUCGGCCUGCGCGGAAGAUGUAACGGGGCUAAACCAUGCACCGAAGCUGCGGCAGCGACACUGUGUGUUGUUGGGUAGGGGAGCGUUCUGUAAGCCUGUGAAGGUGUGUCGUGAGGCAUGCUGGAGGUAUCAGAAGUGCGAAUGCUGACAUAAGUAACGAUAAAGCGGGUGAAAAGCCCGCUCGCCGGAAGACCAAGGGUUCCUGUCCAACGUUAAUCGGGGCAGGGUGAGUCGACCCCUAAGGCGAGGCCGAAAGGCGUAGUCGAUGGGAAACGGGUUAAUAUUCCCGUACUUGGUGUUACUGCGAAGGGGGGACGGAGAAGGCUAUGUUGGCCGGGCGACGGUUGUCCCGGUUUAAGCGUGUAGGUGUGUGUUCCAGGUAAAUCCGGUUCACUUUAACACUGAGGCGUGACGACGAGGCACUACGGUGCUGAAGCAACAAAUGCCCUGCUUCCAGGAAAAGCCUCUAAGCAUCAGGUAACAUCAAAUCGUACCCCAAACCGACACAGGUGGUCAGGUAGAGAAUACCAAGGCGCUUGAGAGAACUCGGGUGAAGGAACUAGGCAAAAUGGUGCCGUAACUUCGGGAGAAGGCACGCUGACACGUAGGUGAAGUGAUUUACUCAUGGAGCUGAAGUCAGUCGAAGAUACCAGCUGGCUGCAACUGUUUAUUAAAAACACAGCACUGUGCAAACACGAAAGUGGACGUAUACGGUGUGACGCCUGCCCGGUGCCGGAAGGUUAAUUGAUGGGGUCAGCGCAAGCGAAGCUCCUGAUCGAAGCCCCGGUAAACGGCGGCCGUAACUAUAACGGUCCUAAGGUAGCGAAAUUCCUUGUCGGGUAAGUUCCGACCUGCACGAAUGGCGUAAUGAUGGCCAGGCUGUCUCCACCCGAGACUCAGUGAAAUUGAACUCGCUGUGAAGAUGCAGUGUACCCGCGGCAAGACGGAAAGACCCCGUGAACCUUUACUAUAGCUUGACACUGAACAUUGAGCCUUGAUGUGUAGGAUAGGUGGGAGGCUUUGAAGUGUGGACGCCAGUCUGCAUGGAGCCGACCUUGAAAUACCACCCUUUAAUGUUUGAUGUUCUAACGUGGACCCGUGAUCCGGGUUGCGGACAGUGUCUGGUGGGUAGUUUGACUGGGGCGGUCUCCUCCUAAAGAGUAACGGAGGAGCACGAAGGUUGGCUAAUCCUGGUCGGACAUCAGGAGGUUAGUGCAAUGGCAUAAGCCAGCUUGACUGCGAGCGUGACGGCGCGAGCAGGUGCGAAAGCAGGUCAUAGUGAUCCGGUGGUUCUGAAUGGAAGGGCCAUCGCUCAACGGAUAAAAGGUACUCCGGGGAUAACAGGCUGAUACCGCCCAAGAGUUCAUAUCGACGGCGGUGUUUGGCACCUCGAUGUCGGCUCAUCACAUCCUGGGGCUGAAGUAGGUCCCAAGGGUAUGGCUGUUCGCCAUUUAAAGUGGUACGCGAGCUGGGUUUAGAACGUCGUGAGACAGUUCGGUCCCUAUCUGCCGUGGGCGCUGGAGAACUGAGGGGGGCUGCUCCUAGUACGAGAGGACCGGAGUGGACGCAUCACUGGUGUUCGGGUUGUCAUGCCAAUGGCACUGCCCGGUAGCUAAAUGCGGAAGAGAUAAGUGCUGAAAGCAUCUAAGCACGAAACUUGCCCCGA